RNAcentral lists this transfer RNA (148 nucleotides) under Sphingomonas sp. RNAcentral describes it as "tRNA-Ser". The record is from RNAcentral. Lineage: Bacteria; Pseudomonadati; Pseudomonadota; Alphaproteobacteria; Sphingomonadales; Sphingomonadaceae.
GCGGGUAUAACGCUGCUAUUGUUUUCGGCAGCUUUCAAUUAUACCUUUGAAUUGUAGCAAUAACGCGCAGCGCCGAAUACAUACGGAAUAGCUACAAUGAACCUUGCCAAGGUUGGGGUCGAGGGUUCGAAUCCCUUCGCCCGCUCCA